CCCUUUAAUUUUGGUGGCAGCAGUAUUAUUACUCUCAAAAGGUAUUGGCUUUAAAAGAUGUGUUCAGCCUAUAAUAUUUACAUAUUAAGGUAACUUAACUUAAGUGUAGAGUUUUGUUUAGUGGCUAAAAAAGUGCCAGCAGCCGCGGUUAUACUUAUUACUAAAGUAAUCUACUCAUUUAAUAUUUAUUGCUAGGAUAUGGUUUAUUUUUUGGUGAAAUAGGAAAAACCAUGAAACAUUAUCAGCUAUUAUAAAUUAGAAAUUAAAACUAGGAUUAGAUACCCUACUAUUCUAACAACCUUAUAUUUAAAUUUAAAGCAUUAAUACUACAAUCAGUAAAAACUUAAAAAAUAUGGCGGUUGAAAUAUACCUCAGGGGAACUUACCUAAUAAUAGAUAACCAUCAAUAUACAUUACUUUUAUUUAUAGCUUGUAUGCCGUCGUCAACAGGAUAUAUAGUUAAUAUAUUCAUUAAUAUUACAUUUACCAAUGACAGAUCAAGGUGCAGCCAAUAUUAAAGUUCAGGCGAGUUACAAUUUUAGAUUUUAUCCUUAAUUAAUUUAAAUAUAAAAUGCUAGAUGGACUUGAAAGUAAAUUUUAAUUUAAAUAUAUUUAUUGAAUUAUUCUAUUUCAGUGCACAAAUCGCCCGUCACUCUCGUUUUUAAAUGAGAUAAGUCGUAACAUAGUAGAUGUAGCGGAAGCUGUAUCU
RNAcentral lists this non-coding RNA (708 nucleotides) under Ryssota otaheitana. Lineage: Eukaryota; Metazoa; Mollusca; Gastropoda; Stylommatophora; Chronidae. The record is from RNAcentral.